AAAGUAUGUCUACCUUGUAAAAUUAAUGCUUAACAUAAUCUAAAGUAGAGCAGCGUAGGCAACCAAAUCCAGCAGGAAUGAUAAAGGAAAUCCAAAUCAUGAAAAUGUAUCUUUUUUCUUUAGGCUGCCCUGUGAGUUGUACCCUUGAAUAAUACUAGACCUGAUCACAGGUUGGGAUACCCACCCUGCCCAGCCCAGCCCAAGACACUUAGG
RNAcentral lists this unclassified non-coding RNA (213 nucleotides) under Hevea brasiliensis (rubber tree). Lineage: Eukaryota; Viridiplantae; Streptophyta; Magnoliopsida; Malpighiales; Euphorbiaceae. The record is from RNAcentral.